GUGUCAGCAGCCGCGGUAAUACGUAGGCAGCAAGCGUUGUUCGGAAUUACUGGGCGUAAAGCGUGCGUAGGCGGUGCCUCAAGUUUGGUGUGAAAUCUCCCGGCUCAACCGGGAGGGUGCGCCGAAAACUGAGGUGCUCGAGUGUGGGAGAGGUAGGCGGAAUUCCUGGUGUAGCGGUGAAAUGCGUAGAUAUCAGGAGGAACACCGGCGGUGUAGACGGCUUACUGGACCAUAACUGACGCUGAGGCACGAAAGUGUGGGGAGCAAACAGGAUUAGAUACCCUGGUAGUCCACACCCUAAACGAUGCAUACUUGGUGUGAGCCAUUCAUUUGGUUCGUGCCGGAGCUAACGCGUUAAGUAUGCCGCCUGGGGAGUACGGUCGCAAGGCUGAA
Molecule: ribosomal RNA, 393 nt
Filed under: uncultured bacterium
Lineage: Bacteria
Description: bacterial SSU rRNA
Rfam family: Bacterial small subunit ribosomal RNA
Source: RNAcentral